AUCCAGCUGACGAGUCCCGAAUCGAACGAAAUACGCAUCCUGGAU
This is a non-coding RNA of Schistosoma curassoni, 45 nucleotides long. The record is from Rfam. NCBI's taxonomy places the organism in Eukaryota, Metazoa, Platyhelminthes, Trematoda, Strigeidida, Schistosomatidae.